Molecule: long non-coding RNA, 365 nt
Filed under: Capra hircus (goat)
Lineage: Eukaryota; Metazoa; Chordata; Mammalia; Artiodactyla; Bovidae
Description: lncRNA (ENSCHIG00000007062.1)
Source: RNAcentral
GCACAAUGUGGGCACUUGAUGAAUAAUUGUUGAAUAAUAUAACCACAAGUCAUUGCUUUGAAGUUCUGUUUGGGUAAGCAUUCCAUAGAGCUGAGUGUUACCUUGGGAACCACAUAUGAACUCUUACUUUGAGCAAAGACAGGUGCUGAGUAGCGUCUAUACAUGAGGUCUAACUCCCUUGACAAGAAGUGGAUGGACUGCAUUGUCCUGGUCUCAAGGAACAAAGGGCAGUGAACUCAGUGCCCAGAAAGGGUGUGGAUUGUCACUGAUAGGUGAAGUUUCCCUGGCUUGGAAAGGUAGUCGACAGCUUGCAAUUUAAAUGAGCUGGUUUUAUGGAUGGCUGCAGAAAUCCUCCUUACUCAAAC